This 210-nucleotide ribosomal RNA is filed under the name uncultured bacterium. Its description in RNAcentral is "partial 16S ribosomal RNA". It matches the Rfam family "Bacterial small subunit ribosomal RNA", at positions 524 to 732 of the family's 1533-position model. The record is from RNAcentral.
UACGUAGGGGGCAAGCGUUGUCCGGAAUCAUUGGGCGUAAAGAGCGUGUAGGCGGCCCGGUAAGUCCGCUGUGAAAGUCCAGGGCUCAACCCUGGGAUGCCGGUGGAUACUGUCGGGCUCGAGUCCGGAAGAGGAGUGUGGAAUUCCUGGUGUAGCGGUGAAAUGCGCAGAUAUCAGGAGGAACACCAAUGGCGAAGGCAGCACCUCUGG